GGAGUGAAAAAGAACCUGAAACCGUGUACGUACAAGCAGUGGGAGCACGCUUAGGCGUGUGACUGCGUACCUUUUGUAUAAUGGGUCAGCGACUUAUAUUCUGUAGCAAGGUUAACCGAAUAGGGGAGCCGAAGGGAAACCGAGUCUUAACUGGGCGUUAAGUUGCAGGGUAUAGACCCGAAACCCGGUGAUCUAGCCAUGGGCAGGUUGAAGGUUGGGUAACACUAACUGGAGGACCGAACCGACUAAUGUUGAAAAAUUAGCGGAUGACUUGUGGCUGGGGGUGAAAGGCCAAUCAAACCGGGAGAUAGCUGGUUCUCCCCGAAAGCUAUUUAGGUAGCGCCUCGUGAAUUCAUCUCCGGGGGUAGAGCACUGUUUCGGCAAGGGGGUCAUCCCGACUUACCAACCCGAUGCAAACUGCGAAUACCGGAGAAUGUUAUCACGGGAGACACACGGCGGGUGCUAACGUCCGUCGUGAAGAGGGAAACAACCCAGACCGCCAGCUAAGGUCCCAAAGUCAUGGUUAAGUGGGAAACGAUGUGGGAAGGCCCAGACAGCCAGGAUGUUGGCUUAGAAGCAGCCAUCAUUUAAAGAAAGCGUAAUAGCUCACUGGUCGAGUCGGCCUGCGCGGAAGAUGUAACGGGGCUAAACCAUGCACCGAAGCUGCGGCAGCGACGCUUAUGCGUUGUUGGGUAGGGGAGCGUUCUGUAAGCCUGUGAAGGUGUGCUGUGAGGCAUGCUGGAGGUAUCAGAAGUGCGAAUGCUGACAUAAGUAACGAUAAAGCGGGUGAAAAGCCCGCUCGCCGGAAGACCAAGGGUUCCUGUCCAACGUUAAUCGGGGCAGGGUGAGUCGACCCCUAAGGCGAGGCCGAAAGGCGUAGUCGAUGGGAAACAGGUUAAUAUUCCUGUACUUGGUGUUACUGCGAAGGGGGGACGGAGAAGGCUAUGUUGGCCGGGCGACGGUUGUCCCGGUUUAAGCGUGUAGGCUGGUUUUCCAGGCAAAUCCGGAAAAUCAAGGCUGAGGCGUGAUGACGAGGCACUACGGUGCUGAAGCAACAAAUGCCCUGCUUCCAGGAAAAGCCUCUAAGCAUCAGGUAACAUCAAAUCGUACCCCAAACCGACACAGGUGGUCAGGUAGAGAAUACCAAGGCGCUUGAGAGAACUCGGGUGAAGGAACUAGGCAAAAUGGUGCCGUAACUUCGGGAGAAGGCACGCUGAUAUGUAGGUGAAGCGACUUGCUCGUGGAGCUGAAAUCAGUCGAAGAUACCAGCUGGCUGCAACUGUUUAUUAAAAACACAGCACUGUGCAAACACGAAAGUGGACGUAUACGGUGUGACGCCUGCCCGGUGCCGGAAGGUUAAUUGAUGGGGUCAGCGCAAGCGAAGCUCUUGAUCGAAGCCCCGGUAAACGGCGGCCGUAACUAUAACGGUCCUAAGGUAGCGAAAUUCCUUGUCGGGUAAGUUCCGACCUGCACGAAUGGCGUAAUGAUGGCCAGGCUGUCUCCACCCGAGACUCAGUGAAAUUGAACUCGCUGUGAAGAUGCAGUGUACCCGCGGCAAGACGGAAAGACCCCGUGAACCUUUACUAUAGCUUGACACUGAACAUUGAGCCUUGAUGUGUAGGAUAGGUGGGAGGCUUUGAAGUGUGGACGCCAGUCUGCAUGGAGCCGACCUUGAAAUACCACCCUUUAAUGUUUGAUGUUCUAACGUUGACCCGUAAUCCGGGUUGCGGACAGUGUCUGGUGGGUAGUUUGACUGGGGCGGUCUCCUCCUAAAGAGUAACGGAGGAGCACGAAGGUUGGCUAAUCCUGGUCGGACAUCAGGAGGUUAGUGCAAUGGCAUAAGCCAGCUUGACUGCGAGCGUGACGGCGCGAGCAGGUGCGAAAGCAGGUCAUAGUGAUCCGGUGGUUCUGAAUGGAAGGGCCAUCGCUCAACGGAUAAAAGGUACUCCGGGGAUAACAGGCUGAUACCGCCCAAGAGUUCAUAUCGACGGCGGUGUUUGGCACCUCGAUGUCGGCUCAUCACAUCCUGGGGCUGAAGUAGGUCCCAAGGGUAUGGCUGUUCGCCAUUUAAAGUGGUACGCGAGCUGGGUUUAGAACGUCGUGAGACAGUUCGGUCCCUAUCUGCCGUGGGCGCUGGAGAACUGAGGGGGGCUGCUCCUAGUACGAGAGGACCGGAGUGGACGCAUCACUGGUGUUCGGGUUGUCAUGCCAAUGGCACUGCCCGGUAGCUAAAUGCGGAAGAGAUAAGUGCUGAAAGCAUCUAAGCACGAAACUUGCC
Molecule: ribosomal RNA, 2278 nt
Filed under: Escherichia coli
Lineage: Bacteria; Pseudomonadati; Pseudomonadota; Gammaproteobacteria; Enterobacterales; Enterobacteriaceae
Description: partial 23S ribosomal RNA
Rfam family: Bacterial large subunit ribosomal RNA
Source: RNAcentral